RNAcentral lists this ribosomal RNA (253 nucleotides) under uncultured bacterium. RNAcentral describes it as "partial 16S ribosomal RNA". It matches the Rfam family "Bacterial small subunit ribosomal RNA", at positions 524 to 776 of the family's 1533-position model. The record is from RNAcentral.
UACGUGGGGUGCGAGCGUUAAUCGGAAUUACUGGGCGUAAAGCGUGCGCAGGCGGUGAUGUAAGUCAGGUGUGAAAUCCCCGGGCUUAACCUGGGAACUGCAUUUGUGACUGCAUCGCUGGAGUGCGGCAGAGGGGGAUGGAAUUCCGCGUGUAGCAGUGAAAUGCGUAGAUAUGCGGAGGAACACCGAUGGCGAAGGCAAUCCCCUGGGCCUGAACUGACGCUCAUGCACGAAAGCGUGGGGAGCAAACAGG